This 1437-nucleotide long non-coding RNA is filed under the name Androctonus crassicauda. Lineage: Eukaryota; Metazoa; Arthropoda; Arachnida; Scorpiones; Buthidae. The record is from RNAcentral.
CGACAGAUGACGACACUUUCCACUCGAUAAGAGUACUAAGUGGAGGGGUCAAACCAGCCUUUCCACCGGCUGCCCACCCCGGUGGAGGGAUCUGUUCGAUGGUGGAGGAUGGUAUGGACGGGCCGGACUCUGACCCCACCAUAAAUAUUUUGGAGGGUAGAAGCCCAGACUCGAAGCAGAGUCUUCCAGAGUGGAAAGCCGAAGCGUUUUUCCAGACGGCCAAUUCGGCCGACUAUCGGUGACGGUUAGUCGUUAACGAAAAUCCAGAAUAAAUGGCAGAUUCUUAACAGAGAUAACUUCGAAAAUAUAAUUACGGCCGAGGAAAGGCUGUUAGUCCGAUUCUCGUAACUCCGUAAGGUUUUACUUGUCAGAUCCCAUCGGUAUUACCAUAUUGGCUUAAUUCUUUUAGCCAAAGUCAUUAUUACGGUACCUAGUCUUCGUAGUUAGCACUCAUUCGACUACGGAACCGAAGAGUAUUACGGAUGAUGAAUGGUUGGCAGCCGAUCUAACCCAAGAUUCCUUGAUCCAUCUCAUUCUUUGGGUUAUGUUCCACUACUACUUCAACCGGGAAGUUAAACUGUGACCAAUCUUUGCCAAUUAGUGCUGGCCAAAGACGAACCCAGCUACCAUUCCUUCUCUUUGUAAAUUUAUCCGAAAUGAUCCUAUUAUAUUAUACCGGCUAGCGUGAUUUUCUCCUUGGCUCCGGGUAAUGGUUGGACGAAAUUUAAAGAGAAAUCAAUCCCCCGCCAUCCAAACAUCUAAACAUAUUACCAACCAAAUAAAACUCACUCCUAAAUUUCGAAUAACCGAGAAAUGAAUUCUAAGUUAAUUUUCCUUAGCCUGAGUGGAAAAAGUCGAUAGGCCGAUCUGGAUUUCAUCAAAUACAUCGUAUCUCCCUAUACUGUACCGAUAUAGUUGGGAAGCGGAUCUUCUCGGGGGAUGUUAAAACUGUAUUUUCGACCAAACGUCGAAAUCGAUUUUUUCCUCCCAACAACUCAACAGUUGGUCAAUCUACGGAUGUAAUAUAUAGUAAAAUUCAAAACAUAAGCCAACCGUAAAACUAUUUGUUUCUGGCUGAAAUUUUCCACUAGUCGACCUGGUCCGGAUUAAUUCCUCUUUCCGUACCGUUUAAAUCUGUUGUAAUAACCAUUCUAUCCACGUAAAAUUUACUGGUUUCUAAUAGACCGACAAAUAAUCAUCAUAAUAUAUGCAAAUUAUCCCUUAUAUUUUCAAUUAUUAUUACAGUAUAUACACAAUGAAUACAGUCGUAUAUUAUCACUCGAAUGGUAGUUACCCGCCUCUAGGCAAUAGCUGGGUUACAGUUGACUGGCCAGAAACCACAUUACCGGGGAAAGAAAUAUCUUACCUACUUAGUAGUAGUAGUAAUAAUAGAGAGGGAGGAGCCUAUACAGCUCAAGCACUGCGACCAAUAUAGGU